Molecule: ribosomal RNA, 253 nt
Filed under: uncultured prokaryote
Description: partial 16S ribosomal RNA
Rfam family: Bacterial small subunit ribosomal RNA
Source: RNAcentral
UACGUAGGGUGCAAGCGUUAAUCGGAAUUACUGGGCGUAAAGCGUGCGCAGGCGGCUUUGCAAGACAGAUGUGAAAUCCCCGGGCUCAACCUGGGAACUGCAUUUGUGACUGCAAGGCUGGAGUACGGCAGAGGGGGAUGGAAUUCCGCGUGUAGCAGUGAAAUGCGUAGAUAUCGGGAGGAACACCAGUGGCGAAGGCGGUUGCCUGGGGCUUUGCUGACGCUGAUGCGCGAAAGCGUGGGGAGCGAUCCGG